GACAGAGGGGGCAAGCGUUGCUCGGAAUCACUGGGCGUAAAGGGCGCGUAGGCGGGAUGGCAAGUCAGUCGUGAAAUCUCUCGGCUCAACCGAGAAACGUCGGCUGAUACUGCCGUUCUUGAGGGAUGCAGAGGAGACUGGAAUUCCCGGUGUAGCGGUGAAAUGCGUAGAUAUCGUUUGGAACGCCAAUGGUGAAAACAGGUUGCUGGGAGUGUGCUGACGCUGAGACACGAAAGCCAGGGGAGCGAACGGG
This 253-nucleotide ribosomal RNA is filed under the name uncultured bacterium. RNAcentral describes it as "partial 16S ribosomal RNA". It matches the Rfam family "Bacterial small subunit ribosomal RNA", at positions 524 to 776 of the family's 1533-position model. The record is from RNAcentral.